RNAcentral lists this ribosomal RNA (497 nucleotides) under uncultured bacterium. RNAcentral's name for it is "partial 16S ribosomal RNA". It matches the Rfam family "Bacterial small subunit ribosomal RNA", at positions 28 to 507 of the family's 1533-position model. The record is from RNAcentral.
GAUGAACGCUGGCGGCGUGCCUAAUACAUGCAAGUCGAGCGAACGGACGAGAAGCUUGCUUUUCUGAUGUUAGCGGCGGACGGGUGAGUAACACGUGGAUAACCUACCUAUAAGACUGGGAUAACUUCGGGAAACCGGAGCUAAUACCGGAUAAUAUUUUGAACCGCAUGGUUCAAAAGUGAAAGACGGUCUUUCUGUCACUUAUAGAUGGAUCCGCGCUGCAUUAGCUAGUUGGUAAGGUAGCGGCUUACCAAGGCAACGAUGCAUAGCCGACGUGAGGGGGUGAUCGGCCACCUUGGAACUGAGACACGGUCCAGACUCCUACGGGAGGCAGCAGUAGGGAAUCUUCCGCAAAGGGCGAAAGCCUGACGGAGCAACGCCGCGUGAGUGAUGAAGGUCUUCGGAUCGUAAAACUCUGUUAUUAGGGAAGAACAUAUGUGUAAGUAACUGUGCACAUCUUGACGGUACCUAAUCAGAAAGCCACGGCUAACUACGUG